AAGCAACAGCUGAGCUUCUAAAGACUCAUCCACACGCUAAAUUUUUGAUGGAUCAGCAGCUGGAGGUCGACUAUCUCGAUUCUCUCGAAACCUUGAUUAAGAAUGGAAAACCUCUUGUGAUCCCUGUGAAUAUGGCUGUUCUUGAGAAAUAGCAUCCUGACAUGCAUGCAAUUUUUAUUGGUCUUUCUGGCCUCUAAAACGAGGGAGUAUGUCAUCUCGGUUUAAAUUUCAAAUAAAUGCCAAGGAAGAAAAAAGAUUAAUAAACGUGGAGCGUGACGGGGGGUGGUGGGUGGUGGGUUGUU
This 302-nucleotide non-coding RNA is filed under the name Protocruzia adhaerens. The record is from RNAcentral. Lineage: Eukaryota; Ciliophora; Spirotrichea.